This is a long non-coding RNA of Numida meleagris (helmeted guineafowl), 3689 nucleotides long. RefSeq lists it as uncharacterized. The record is from RefSeq and is a predicted model, not a curated record. NCBI's taxonomy places the organism in Eukaryota, Metazoa, Chordata, Aves, Galliformes, Numididae. The transcript is spliced from 4 exons.
UCCUGGGAGGGAGUGGUGCUGGAUAGCUGCAAUGCCCGGUGCUGGAGGUGGGAUCAAGGAGAAUAUAUCCCAGGCGUCCCCAGCAGGGAGCUGAGCCAGGUGCUGCUGGGGUGGGGCGGGAGUAGUGAAAAGGUGGUGGCACCCAGGUCAGCAUCCCAGCACAUGCGGGACAGCUGGUCUCCAUCAGAGCAGGUGGGCUGGGAAAGGUGACCCUAUAAAAAUGGCAGAAGUAGAAACCAAGCAACAGGUAGCAAAGGAAAGGUGAUGGUGGAAGGGCCCCAUGCUUGCUCUGCUCUCCCUCCCCAAGCCUGGCUGUGGGUAAUGUGAUGCUGAACAGUGAGAAGGCAGCGCUGACAGCCCCAGAGGAAAGGAGGAGGGCUGCUUAUUGGAGGGCAAUCCACUGAUGGCAGCUAAACACUUCGUUGUUAUCACCUGGAAACAAUGGUGCUCUCCGCUGUCCCUGCGAGCUGCAGCCGGUUGGAAAGCAACCUCCAUGCUCCUAUCCCCUGCUGGGGUGCGGGCAGGUCACGUCACGCCGCGGUGCUGCACGAUAAGAUCCAAACGCAGCCGUGCUCCACAGAACCUGCUCCACCCGCCAGGUGAUGGAUGCUGCUCCCUGCCCAUGAAUCACGCUCAUGGUUGUGUAAGGUUUAUGCUGUAUUUCUGAGGCCCUUCUAAAGUUCUGCACAAUUUAUAUGCACCACUCCUGCGUUGAGCCAUUCAUGCUCCUCCUUCGAGGCACUGGGAUUUACUCUACCCUCACCGCAGCCUGGGGAAAUUGCUCCUCUGAUGGAACGAUCUCAGGGCUGUGGCACUAUUUAUUGCUAUCAGAAACAAUCCCACCACGUAGCGACUUCUGACCAUGAAAAAGGGGAAAGCGCUGCAUUCUCUCCAACACCAAUUCCCAUGAAUCUUUAAACAGAAGGAAGUGUUUCCCCGACCAGCGAGCGCUUGUGAAGACGUUUAACUCUAAGAAUAUGUGACAGCUCAUCAGAGGAGGAAGAGAAAUGGGUUUGGGGAUAUGGAGGGAGCGGCAGGCACUUCGGGAGUCCAGGCAGGGCAAUUGGCCCCAGGGCUCUGGCUCCCAUUGGGGUCCCCAUCUCCAUCUUGGGGUCCCUGGCCCCAGCACCCCGGAGAGCUCCACACUGUGCCCUGCCCAGGUUGGAGCCUUGCUGGCGACUUCGAGGCAGAGCUCUGGCACCGAAUUACCUGUCUAGCUGGGAUCUUAUCUCAGCGUUUAUCACUGCCGCCUCUUGCUGUCAGCACUGUUUAUAGACAGGGGAACCGAAACCCUACGCUAAGAAAUUUCCUCCUCCUCCUCUUUUCUUUCAAAUCUGCAUCUGUUUCAGACUCCCUUUCAUUAGAGACCACAUGAAAGCCAAAACAAUCCCAGGCUAUCAGACACAGAAACCUUUGCAAGGUAACCUCCUCUCUGCAUGCACUGGGGUAAAUAAGGCACGCCCUGGCCAGGGGGGUUGUUUGGGUCCUGUCCCCCUUGUGUGGGUGCCCAUGAGAUCUCCUUCACCCCCAGGGCUGUGUGCAGGGUCAGGGAUGCAGGGUGUGAAGGAUCUCGAGGUCACCAUCCCACGUGUCCCACUUGUUGCCUGGUUGGUGCCCAACCCCUGGGAGGCUUUGGGGCAUGGGGCAUGUACUUGGUGCAUUUUUACCUCUUGUAAAACAUUUGUGAAGUUACUCUGCUAAGAGUGGGGAGGGAGGAAAGGGGCUGAUAGCGAUUAGGCAGGAAAUGGCUCAGCGUGGAUGGCAUCCAUAUGGGGGAGCUGAGAGAUUUGGCGUCUCGCAGGCACCGCUUGAUGGAUCCACUGAUAACCUGGCAGCAGAACAGACCUGGGCUCUCUGAUUCCCUGCCAGCGGCUCCACCAAAGCCAGCUGGGUCGGCCUUCGUUAACACCUUUCUGGGCUGGGAACCCGCUGAGAUGCGUAACGAUGGCCAUAAAGCUGCCUGAGGUUACGGCCCAUUCGAAGGCCGAAAUACUGUCCCCAAAAGCCCCAUGGGUUGCUGGCUGGGUUAGAUGCAGGGCAAGCUGUGUGCUACAUUGGGCUCGGGUCUGUAAUUUCCCUGUGGUUACUUCCAAGAUAACAUAUUUCAGCUUUUUAUGAUGCUUACAAAUUGAGCAACAUCUUAAAAACAUAAUUCAGGCUCCAACGAGUUUCUAACGUGAGUGUUUUUACAGGGAAGCAUCAAAUAUUUUCAAGUGUUGGUAAAUUUUUGGGAUGGGAAAUGGGGCUGGGAGACAAGGGAGGCAUGGUCCUGGCCCCAAAAGGCUUUGAGGGCUCUCCUCCCAAAUGACUUUUCCCAGCUCCUCCUGGGGCCAUCCCAUCUCCUCAGGACACCAGUGUCCCGCACCAGGGUGGAAGAGGAGUGUGGGGCUGGAGCUGCUGGCGUGCCAUAAGGAAGCGAUUGAAGCUUUCACAAUCUGUUUAACCAGUGACAUAUGUUUCCUGCAGGCACGGCGGUGUGCUGCAUGCUGAGGUACGGCCACGCAUCCCCGCCAGUCUCUGCGUGCUGAUUCCAUUGGGCUGCCCGGGGCGGGGGGGAGGGACACACCAAGAAAAGCCCCCAGGGAGGCAAACCUAUCUCAGAACAUCGUGUCCUCACUGGGGUGGGGACAGCUGGAGACCAGGUGGCUGGGAGCGCUGGGGAUGCUGUGAGCUGGGCAGGCUGGACUGAGCCCUACAGCAGCAGGUACCACCUGGAGGUGACACUGUCUUCCGGUCCAAGCAGUGGCUCGCAACCCAUCUUGGGCAGGGAGUGACCCAUGGAGCUGCUCACCUUCCCCUGUCCCAGCUGGAUGAUCAGGGCUGGCAAAGCCAUCCUGAAGUGCCCCAGCUCCAGGUGUUCUGCGUGCUUUGCUCAAACCCCCCAACCCCACUGUGCAGCUGGUGAGUGCAGCCAUGGCAGUGGGUCCUCUCCAACCCCAAGGACAGGUCCUGAUAGGAAGACCAGGACACAGCGAUGUCACGCCCCGAGGCAUGUUGGGUUUUUUCUGCCAUUUUUUUCAUCAUUUUGAGGCAGGAGUCAUAAAUGCUAAAGAUGCGCACGGAAUUUGAAUAUGAAUGAUAAGAACAGCUGUGUAUAUCUAUUAUGAACGAAUAUAAACAGAAACGUAUAAACUGAGAUUCUGGGGGCUUUGGGAAGAAUUAGUGCCUUUGUUCCUGGAUUUUUUUCCUAUCAGAGUUUGAACCAAAGCCCAUUAGCCCGGACUUUCCCGCAGCCGCCCCAGCCAGGAGCUUCAUUUCGUGCUGGCUCCGAGCCAUGCUGAAUUCUCCUCAACAGCUCAGUGAGCCCUAAUCCUAACAAAUUUACCCAGAGAAGUGGUUCUCUUAUUACACUGCCUAAUUUGAACGCUUUCCAAGGUUAAUUUCUGCUCCCUCUCCCUCUGAAUGCGCCUGCCCCCCCGUUCCCCGUUAGCACCAGCCCGGGGGGAGCAGCCCCAGAACUUCCCCUCCCGGCCACGAUUGGUUUUAAAUGAGAAAAUAAUGCGAUGUUCGUCCCCGGGUGCGGGGUCUGCCCGCGGGGUUUCCUAAUGCUAAGCCACUUCCUUUGCAAAUUAAUUGCAACUUUUGCUGGGCGAAAAUAGCCCUGGAAGCCCGCUCCCCACGGAUUCUUCCUUGUGUAACACUACUCUGUUUGUAAUCUGAUUGCUGUGACUCUCGUUUCUUCUCCUCUC